AACGCUAGCUACAGGCUUAACACAUGCAAGUCGAGGGGAAACGAUGGGAGGGCUUGCCCUCCCAGGCGUCGACCGGCGCACGGGUGAGUAACACGUAUCCAACCUGCCCUCUUCCGGGGAACAACCUUGCGAAAGUAAGACUAAUGCCCCAUGUGUCCUCAGACGGCAUCAGACGAGGACGAAAGAUUUAUCGGAAGUGGAUGGGGAUGCGCCUGAUUAGGCAGUUGGCGGGGCAACGGCCCACCAAGCCGACGAUCAGUAGGGGUUCUGAGAGGAAGGUCCCCCACAUUGGAACUGAGACACGGUCCAAACUCCUACGGGAGGCAGCAGUGAGGAAUAUUGGUCAAUGGGCGGGAGCCUGAACCAGCCAAGUAGCGUGCAGGACGACGGCCCUAUGGGUUGUAAACUGCUUUUGCGCGGGGAUAGAGUGCGCCACGUGUGGCUCAUUGCAGGUACCGCGCGAAUAAGGACCGGCUAAUUCCGUGCCAGCAGCCGCGGUAAUACGGAAGGUCCGGGCGUUAUCCGGAUUCAUUGGGUUUAAAGGGAGCGCAGGCCGCCCCUUAAGCGUGUUGUGAAAUGCCGCGGCUCAACCGUGGCACUGCAGCGCGAACUGGGGGGCUUGAGUGCGCGCAGCGCAGGCGGAACUCGUGGUGUAGCGGUGAAAUGCUUAGAUAUCACGAAGAACUCCGAUUG
RNAcentral lists this ribosomal RNA (693 nucleotides) under uncultured Bacteroidales bacterium. RNAcentral's name for it is "bacterial SSU rRNA". It matches the Rfam family "Bacterial small subunit ribosomal RNA", at positions 32 to 715 of the family's 1533-position model. The record is from RNAcentral. Lineage: Bacteria; Pseudomonadati; Bacteroidota; Bacteroidia; Bacteroidales.